RNAcentral lists this small nucleolar RNA (138 nucleotides) under Ornithorhynchus anatinus (platypus). Lineage: Eukaryota; Metazoa; Chordata; Mammalia; Monotremata; Ornithorhynchidae. The record is from RNAcentral.
CCCCUCUCAGGGUCACACCUGGAGCAUUCUCAGUACUCUACCAGUUUCGACUAUAGGAGGGAGAGUCAGGCAGAGACCUAUCCAUUCCAUUCCUAGCUUGGACAGUGGCUAGCGAGUGGAAGGCAAUCUGCUACAAGU